AUACGUAGGUGGCAAGCGUUGUCCGGAAUUAUUGGGCGUAAAGCGCGCGCAGGUGGUUCCUUAAGUCUGAUGUGAAAGCCCCCGGCUCAACCGGGGAGGGUCAUUGGAAACUGGGGAACUUGAGUGCAGAAGAGGAUAGUGGAAUUCCAAGUGUAGCGGUGAAAUGCGUAGAGAUUUGGAGGAACACCAGUGGCGAAGGCGACUGUCUGGUCCGUAACUGACACUGAGGCGCGAAAGCGUGGGGAGCAAACAGGAUUAGAUACCCUGGUAGUCCACGCCGUAAACGAUGAGUGCUAAGUGUUGGGGGGUUUCCGCCCCUCAGUGCUGCAGCUAACGCAUUAAGCACUCCGCCUGGGGAGUACGGUCGCAAGACUGAAACUCAAAUGAAUUGGCGGGG
RNAcentral lists this ribosomal RNA (397 nucleotides) under uncultured bacterium. RNAcentral describes it as "partial 16S ribosomal RNA". It matches the Rfam family "Bacterial small subunit ribosomal RNA", at positions 523 to 918 of the family's 1533-position model. The record is from RNAcentral.